Lolium rigidum is the source of this 1280-nucleotide long non-coding RNA. RefSeq lists it as uncharacterized. The record is from RefSeq and is a predicted model, not a curated record. The transcript has 3 exons. NCBI's taxonomy places the organism in Eukaryota, Viridiplantae, Streptophyta, Magnoliopsida, Poales, Poaceae.
CCACACCGGCCGGCCUAGAUCCACUUGCGGCUGCAGUUAGCUUUAACGAAGACGAGCACCUACUACAUGCGCCCCAUGCUCCUCCCUCCAUUAUUCUACGCUGAUGCUUCCAAGAGAGCGUGCUGCACUGGAGCCAUUAUAUCGCCUCCAAUAUAAACCAGGAGAAGGACAUGUUCACGGGAAAAGGGAAAUCCGGAUCUAUUAUUUUAGCUUGUGAAUAAUGAGGAAUCUUGCUUUACUCUCCGGAUCACUAUCAUCAAACUGAUCAUCUCCUACUACAAAGGAUGACACGAGGUUUAAUACCUCCAGUCUUCUUCUAGAUCUACUUCUUUUAGUCAAUUCAUUUUCACUAUGCAAGUUUAAUAUGGAUUGCAAUUUAUCUUGAACAUUUGGUUAAGAAAAAACAAAAUAGUUGCUUCUGUUUUCCUGGAUGUGUAAAUUAGAUAGACUUCUACUCUCUAAUGGAUUAACAAAGUUUUGGAGGAUAAUUCAGUACACCAUCAUUGAGAUUUUGAUUUCUUAUUUGCAUUCAAUAGGUUCAAGUGGCUUUUAUUUUGAAAGUUAUAUUUCUACACAUUGGUGCAUGUUCUAUCAAAUGAUCUCUUGGAUGAAUACUUUUGAAACAAUGGUACAACCAAAACCAAGGGAAGGCCCCUAUAGUAGAUCUCAGAGGCAUUCCAAAUGAUCUUUUGUUGCCCUAAGGUGUUCAUAUUUGCUUGAACUGAUCCAGGUCCAAAUAAUGUUCGCGACAAAGUAUGGGAAAGAAUCUAUUGCUGCACAUCAGAGCUUAUGCCAGAUUGUGGGAUCAACUAGCAGGUCAUAUGCGAACUUCCAUCAAAUGUAAUUCAAUUAUGUUAACAAUUAGAAUGAUGAUGAACCAAUUUGAAUUAAUACCCCAAAUUGAAUUGCUUUCUACAUGUCCAACUCCGGUUGAAGUGAACAUGGAACUGGUUGCAAGUCAGAAUUAAGGUGCAAGCAUGCCUUCAUUUCCAGGGAUGUGUCUCCACUUGGCGCCCAGCUACCGGAUGCUCCACGGAUUCUCUGAUGCCAUGCGAGAUAGUACAGCUUAAGAUGAAGAUGGAUGAGUUGUCUGAUGUACAUAUUCAAAUUUAGAUGUGAAAAAAACACAUACUCUUGUGAAUUUACGUUCUUGUAAUGGAAAUUGUACCGAAUAUCUGAGAUCGGCAAAGACAGUAUGAGCACCAAAAGCGAUUUAAGCUCAACUGCCCAACACUGCUUAAAUUUCAGAUCAACCACAAGGGUAAUAAUUCUAUGGAAGA